CAACCCUGACCAAGCCCAUAUUAGAAUCUCAGAGGCUAAUCCAACCUAAUCCGGUAUCAACUAUAGACCCAUGAUCAGGGCUUCCCGCCAUACCCACACCCAACGAUCAAUUUUAUAAACUUAGUUCACCUUGAAUGGCGAUCCUUCCUUCUCUACAGGGGGUUAAUCGGUUUUCUUUCUUACCUUAAAAGCCACCACCAAACGACCCCUGCACGCCUUCACCCUCCAUGUCAUCGCCCAUUCCCAGCCCCAAAACCCACAACUACCCCUUUCAGUCUUUGGAAAUCCCAACGAAACCCAGCCUUCAAACGGGAGAAGAGAUUUUGGCCAUUGAAGAGAUGGGAAAUCAGUAUGCUUUUUAAGCCUCUUUUGUCUGAUAAUUGCCAAGUUAGUCUUGGGACGGACGGGUUGACGCAUAAUAUGUUGGAUUUGAUACACACACAUUGGAAACGAUGAAGUGUUGUCAAAGUUAAAUGCAAAGCAAAAAAUGGACUGUACAUUACCCUAGUGAAAGAUGUUAAGAAUGCUUUUCAAGGAAGUCCAUUGGUGAGAAUUGACUGCAGAGAAAUGUGUGCAAAUGAUUACAAGAAAAUAGGUGCUAAGCUCAAGGUCUGUGCACCUUUGUAUUGGAAUUGAUUCCCUGCACGCCAUUGUCUUUUGAUAAUGAACGAAUUUUGAUGUGGAGAGGAAAUGAUUGGAAAAAUAUGUAUCCAGAAGGUCUUUCAGCUUCAAUGCCUGUUACCUUAGACGCAACCUGUGGGUUGGAUGGCCUAGGUAUGUGUUAGAGCUCGGGUAUACGUAAAGAAAAUGAGAAGAAACAAGAACAUCAAUCUAAAUACACAGGCUGUGAAAAUGCUAAAUAACUCUAGCAAUGGAAGUACAGGUGGCAAAGGUGUGGAUUCAACAAGUGGCAGCAUUUCAGAAAUGUUACAAUUAGCAGAGCAUGAUAGAAAGCCUGCAGGUGACAGCAAUUCAGAAAUAACACAAUCUGCAACAAAUCAGCAAGAAAAGAGGGAUAUGCAGAAAAAAGAGGGAGCCACGGUUAUAUUGGCUGAUGAGCUGGCGAAUUAGGACUGGAAAAACAACAGUAAGGAGAAGGAAAAGAUAAAGAGCCUGGAGAGUAUAAGGGGAGGGGAGACGAUUUUUUCAGAGAAGGGAGAAGAUUGAGGAGAGAACCAGCCUCUCGAAAGCUGGAAACUGUUCUUGGUUGUUCUUGUGAUUUCAAUUUGUCUUUUAUGCUUUUGGUUUGUAAACAAAAUGUAAAUGGUGCCAGUUAUGAGUUAAGUUCUAGUACAAUUACUCUUUGUUCUGAAUUUCAUGUGAUGAGUGCUCAAGUUUGAGGCUACAUCUUUAUUUUAUGCAACGUGAUCAAUACAAAUAGUAUUUUCUUCAA
Molecule: RNA transcript, 1393 nt
Organism: Mangifera indica (mango)
Lineage: Eukaryota; Viridiplantae; Streptophyta; Magnoliopsida; Sapindales; Anacardiaceae
Gene name: CRS2-associated factor 2, chloroplastic-like
Exons: 4
Source: RefSeq, a predicted model, not a curated record